UACAGAGGCCCCAAGCAUUAUCCGGAAUCACUGGGCGUAAAGGGUGUGUAGGCGGCUUUGUUAGUCUGUCGUGAAAGGCCGUGGGCUUAACCCAUGGACCGCGGGAGAAACGGCAAGGCUUUAGAGGAUGCGAGAGGUAAAGGGAACUCAAGGUGUAGGGGUGAAAUCCGUUGAUAUCUUGGGGAACACCAAAUGCGAAGGCACUUUACUGGCGCACUCCUGACGCUGAGACACGAAAGCGUGGGUAGCGAACGGG
RNAcentral lists this ribosomal RNA (256 nucleotides) under uncultured bacterium. RNAcentral describes it as "partial 16S ribosomal RNA". It matches the Rfam family "Bacterial small subunit ribosomal RNA", at positions 524 to 776 of the family's 1533-position model. The record is from RNAcentral.